RNAcentral lists this ribosomal RNA (253 nucleotides) under uncultured bacterium. Its description in RNAcentral is "partial 16S ribosomal RNA". It matches the Rfam family "Bacterial small subunit ribosomal RNA", at positions 524 to 776 of the family's 1533-position model. The record is from RNAcentral.
UACGAAGGGGGCUAGCGAUGUUCGGAAUUACUGGGCGUAAAGCGCACGUAGGCGGAUUUGUAAGUCAGGGGUGAAAUCCCGGGGCUCAACCUCGGAACUGCCUUUGAUACUGCAAGUCUUGAGACCGGAAGAGGUGAGUGGAAUUCCUAGUGUAGAGGUGAAAUUCGUAGAGAUUAGGAAGAACACCAGUGGCGAAGGCGGCUCACUGGUCCGGUUCUGACGAUGAGGUGCGAAAGAGUGGGGAGCAAACAGG